RNAcentral lists this ribosomal RNA (253 nucleotides) under uncultured bacterium. RNAcentral's name for it is "partial 16S ribosomal RNA". It matches the Rfam family "Bacterial small subunit ribosomal RNA", at positions 524 to 776 of the family's 1533-position model. The record is from RNAcentral.
UAAGGAGGGUGCAAGCGUUAAUCGGAAUUACUGGGCGUAAAGCGAACGCAGGUGGCUGAGUCAGUCGAUUGUGAAAGCCCUGGGCUUAACCUGGGAAUUGCAGUCGAUACUACUCAGAUAGAGUAUGGGAGAGGGCAGUGGAAUUCCCGGUGUAGCGGUGAAAUGCGUAGAUAUCGGGAGGAACAUCAGUGGCGAAGGCGGCUGCCUGGCCCAAUACUGACACUCAGGUGCGACAGCGUGGGGAGGAAACAGG